CUGCCCGUGGGCGAACUGGUGAAGCCAUAUGGUCGAUAGGCCUAGGAUUGGGGGUUCGAAUCCCCCCGGGCAGUCAA
This 77-nucleotide transfer RNA is filed under the name Paragemmobacter aquarius. Its description in RNAcentral is "Gemmobacter sp. HYN0069 tRNA-Ile". It matches the Rfam family "tRNA". Rfam says of the family: Transfer RNA (tRNA) molecules are approximately 80 nucleotides in length. The record is from RNAcentral. Lineage: Bacteria; Pseudomonadati; Pseudomonadota; Alphaproteobacteria; Rhodobacterales; Paracoccaceae.